This 307-nucleotide long non-coding RNA is filed under the name Struthio camelus australis. RNAcentral describes it as "lncRNA (ENSSCUG00000000323.1)". Lineage: Eukaryota; Metazoa; Chordata; Aves; Struthioniformes; Struthionidae. The record is from RNAcentral.
GUUCCACAGUCCAUCCACCUGUUACUCAGAUACUGUAAGUAAAACAUAGUUUUACAUACAAAUUAAUGUAACUAGAUUAAUGCAGUUCAUCUCAUAACUGUAGUACUGCAGAGGAAUGGAACGAUGCAGCAAUCAGCAAACUCUGAAGAUGCCUAUUAUGAAAUUCCCACCUGAUUAUGAAGUAUCAAAAAAUACAGCCUGCACAGCUGUUAAACAAAGGAAUUCAGACAAACAGAAGGAAAACAAAAAUCCUCUGAAAAAGCAAUAUCCUUCUCUCCCUACGAAAUUUGUGAAGAGGGAAGAGUAA